Molecule: ribosomal RNA, 254 nt
Filed under: uncultured bacterium
Lineage: Bacteria
Description: partial 16S ribosomal RNA
Rfam family: Bacterial small subunit ribosomal RNA
Source: RNAcentral
CUUUCUUUGCUGGCGACCGGCGCACGGGUGAGUAACACGUAUCCAACCUGCCCCUUACUCGGGGAUAGCCUUUCGAAAGAAAGAUUAAUACCCGAUAGCAUAAUGAUUCCGCAUGGUUUCAUUAUUAAAGGAUUCCGGUAAAGGAUGGGGAUGCGUUCCAUUAGGUUGUUGGUGAGGUAACGGCCCACCAAGCCUUCGAUGGAUAGGGGUUCUGAGAGGAAGGUCCCCCACAUUGGAACUGAGACACGGUCCAA